GCCGUCUGGAGAGGCGCGUCCCGCUCCACGUGCUGGCAGCAGCUAGCAACCUCUCUGGGAGGUUCUGGCCACAGAACUCCGGCACGGCGCCCCGACCCGGCUCCGGCGAGGGGUCGGAUCCUGGGUUCCCAGGUUCAGAAGUCUUCAGAUCCCGGAAAAGCACAUUCAUCUGUGAAGUCAGUGGGCGCGGGUCUCCCAGAAAUCAUGCUUCCGGAAGGACCGCGGCAGUUCCAACUCCGGAGCCCAAGAACAAAUUGAGUUCAGCGUGGGACGCGAACCAUUCCCAGCGCCCUGGCAGGAAGCCUGCUCCUGGGGCUGGUCAGGCAACCAGCCGGGACCACAGAGGCCCCACAGAGAAAGGCUUGGGGGGGGGGGGGACAGCAGCUGCUCUUGUGCCCCACCCCCACACGCCCUUCUUCUGUUUCACCGGUAAAUAAAGAAGGCUGACAUUCAA
Long non-coding RNA from Dama dama (fallow deer), 454 nucleotides. RefSeq lists it as uncharacterized. The record is from RefSeq and is a predicted model, not a curated record. Lineage: Eukaryota; Metazoa; Chordata; Mammalia; Artiodactyla; Cervidae. The transcript has 2 exons.